CCAGGCUUGAACAGCGAGUGACCAACUACGAAAGUGGUCUUCCGCAAGGACACUCGUAGAGGUGCUGCAUGGCUGUCGUCAGCUCGUGUCGUGAGAUGUUGGGUUAAGUCCCGCAACGAGCGCAACCCUUGUUUUCUGUUGCCAUCAGGUUAAGCUGGGCACUCUGGAGAGACUGCCGGUGAUAAACCGGAGGAAGGUGGGGAUGACGUCAAGUCAGCAUGGCCUUUAUGUCUGGGGCUACACACGUGCUACAAUGGCGGAUACAAAGCGUCGCGAGCCCGCGAGGGGGAGCUAAUCGCAUAAAGUCCGUCUCAGUUCGGAUAGCAGGCUGCAACUCGCCUGCUUGAAGUCGGAAUCGCUAGUAAUCGCGGAUCAGCAUGCCGCGGUGAAUACGUUCCC
This 399-nucleotide ribosomal RNA is filed under the name uncultured soil bacterium. Its description in RNAcentral is "bacterial SSU rRNA". It matches the Rfam family "Bacterial small subunit ribosomal RNA", at positions 975 to 1375 of the family's 1533-position model. The record is from RNAcentral.